UUCCGACCAACGAAGUCCCAAGUCCGAAAGAGACUGACCUUCCUCUCAACGCCUAUAUGCUUCACAACCUCGCUCACAUCGAGCUCAACGCUAUCGACUUGGCGUGGGACACUGUUGCUCGCUUCUCCCCUUUCUUCGACGUUUUGGGUCGCAAGUUCUUCGAUGACUUCGCUCAUGUUGCUGAUGAUGAGAGUCGGCACUUCAUGUGGUGUUCGCAGAGACUCGCUGAGCUUGGUUUCAAGUUAAGUCAUAAAGUUUCAAACUUUGUUUUCAAGACAACACCUUUUUCAAAGUCGUCUUCUUGUCUGAAGGUAUGGAGAUAUGCCGGCUAAUAAUUUGUUGAUGAGAGAAUGCGAGAAUACAUCUAAUAAUGUCGCUGCUCGGUUAGCUGUUAUCCCUCUUGUUCAGGUAAGUGAUUCUCAUUCAAAGUUUACACCGUUUUAUACUCUAGUUUUGGCUAAAAGCACUAAUAUUAAGAAAGUGAUUAUUUGUUAAAAAAUAUCAUUUAAUAUAUAACUUCAACCAAUUAUAAAAAAAUCUACACAAUAUUCAAUAAAUACAAAAAAAUUGCAUUGAAAUGUUAAAACUACUUAUAUUGUGAAACAAAUUUUUUUUUUUGGUUAAAACUAUUUAUAAUAUGAAACGGAGGAGGUACAAGAUUAAGGAAGCUUUGAAUGCAUUUCGUUUUAGCUGAAUAAUAUUAGCAUUAAACUCAUGCUAGUUUAGCAUUACAGGAGGCUAGAGGGCUUGAUGCUGGACCUAGGUUGGUCAAAAGGCUGAUGGGAUUUGGAGAUCACAGGACUUCGAAUAUUGUGGCUAAGAUUGCUGAGGAGGAAAUUGCACAUGUAGCUGUUGGUGUAGACUGGUUUCUCUCUGUUUGUCAAAAGAUGAACCGUGCUCCUUGCCCUACUUUUAAAGGUACAGACAUACAACUCUUCUCUUACAUGCUUACUUGCUCAUUUUAUACAAUCGUCAUGAGUAUCUUUCCACCCCAUGUGCUGUGCAGAUUUGAUCAAAGAGUAUGGUGCUGAGUUAAGAGGACCUUUUAACCAUUCAGCUCGGGAGAUAGCUGGCAUUCCGCGAGAUUGGUAAAGAAACUCAUCCCAGCAAGACUUUUUUUAAUAAAAACUAGCUCAUCCAACUGCCUUUUUCUAUAUGGUUGCACUAAGGAACAUUUCAGUUUAGCGUAAUACAUUAGAUUAUUUCAUGUAUCUUUAGGUAUGAUCCCUCAUGUGGCACCGAAGUUGAUGAAGGCAGCAACAAACAGGGUGACAAGGAGCAACUUUCUGCGGUAUGUUCAUUUUUGUUCAUGUUCUUGGUGAAGUUUUUAUCUUACAUCGAAGUUUUAUCAUGACAGGUGUACGACAGGCUCACUCACAUAAUCUCAAUGGAGAGUGAGAACUCAAGUCUCGAAAGACCAUCCAGGGCGUAACUUAUUGGGCUCUGGAAGUAGAGAUUAGUGCUUUAUUGGCUUUGUUGCUUGUGGGUAACUAUAAUAGUGGAGAUGCAUUAGAGUUGAUCCAGGGAACCUAUUUAUGUUAUGGUCUUGUUAAGAUCCAAGAUACAACUAAUAAAAGAAUCUCAAAUAGAUUCCCAACAGCCAGCAGGGGUUGCAUCUGAUUCUGCUCAGAGCAUCCACGCUACUGCGUCUGAAAGCAUGCCAAUGGAGGAGGACGUAGAUGGACGCAUAAAGAUACAUGUACCUUCCAAGUCGAAGCAAGAGAAAGAGGAGAUUAGGAAGAAGCUUGAAGAUCAGCUUAACGUGGUCAGAGAUCUGGUAAAGAAGAUAGAGGACAAAGAGGGGGAGAUUGGUGCGUAUAACGACUCUCGCCUUUUGGCUAGCACUGAUAUUAAUAACGGAGGAGGAAGGAUCCUUCCAGGGUUGGCAUCUGGUGGACUUCCGCGUGAGGUCAUUAGAACACCAAGGCAUUUAAAUCAACUAAGUAUAUCAGUGUUGGAGAAUACUCAAGGAGUCAAUGAGCAUGUGGAGAAAGAGAAGAGAACACCCAAGGCAAAUCAGUUUUAUAGAACUUCGGAGUUUUUACUUGGUGACAAGCUGCCACCCGCAGAGAGUAACAAGAAAUCAAAAUCAAGCGCAAAGAAGCACGGAGGGGAGGCUGGGCAUGGUUUUAGUGCAGGCUCUAAAGUUUUCAAGAAUUGCAGUGCUCUACUAGAGAGGCUGAUGAAGCAUAAACAUGGUUGGGUGUUCAAUGCUCCUGUAGAUGUGAAGGGUCUUGGUUUGCAUGAUUACUUCGCCAUUAUCGAACACCCUAUGGAUUUGGGAACGGUCAAGUCUGCGUUGGCAAAUAAUCUGUACAAGUCGCCAAGAGAGUUUGCAGAGGAUGUUAGGCUUACUUUCCACAAUGCCAUGACAUACAACCCACCAGGACAAGAUGUCCAUAUAAUGGCGGAAGUGCUGUUACAGAUGUUUGAGGAGAGGUGGGCUGUGAUAGAGGCAGAUUAUAAUCGUCAGCUGAGAUUUGCCGCUGGUUAUGAGAUGAAUCUUCCAGCUUCUACAAUGAGGUCUAGAUUGGGUCCUACAAUGCCGCCGCCGCCCAUCAGUGUGAGUAAUACAAUGGACUGGAGUGGUCUCCCUUCUGACUUGCAGCACCCAAAACCAACAACAACGCCUGGCAGAACACCGACCAGUGCAAGGACCCCUGCUCUGAAGAAGCCAAAGGCGAACGAACCGAAUAAAAGAGAUAUGACGUAUGAAGAGAAGCAGAAGCUUAGUGGCCAGUUGCAGAAUCUGCCUCCAGAGAAACUAGAUGCGAUUGUGCAGAUUGUUAACAAAAGGAACACUGCUGUGAAGCUACGGGAUGAAGAGAUUGAAGUCGAUAUUGAUAGUGUUGAUCCGGAGACCCUGUGGGAGCUGGACAGAUUUGUAACCAACUACAAAAAGGGAUUGAGCAAGAAGAAGAGAAGAGCUGAGCUAGCCAUUCAAGCUAAAGCAGAAGCUGAGAGAAAUAGCCAGAAACAGAUGGUACUUGUAUUCUUUUUUGUACUUUAAUUAAUUUGUAUGUUCAGCUUCAUAUAUAUUUUCCUUUAUUACAGGCUCCUGCACCGGUGGCACAUGAGUUUUCUAGGGAGGGUGGCAACACAGGUAAUUUUGUUAGUUCCACUUCCCUCUGUAUGGUGUGAACUACUUUGGGAUUAUAAUUGCUUCUGUUUUUUCAUCAGCUAAAAAGACGCUCCCUACACAAGUACCUUCUCAAGUGGACAAACAAAACAAUGAGACGAGCAGAUCAAGUAGUUCAAGCAGCUCUUCCAGUAGUUCCAGCUCUUCUAGUGGUACAAACUUUUCUUUUAGUUACCCAACUAAUGAAUUGCCUUGGUGCUGUUCUGAUUUUUUUGUUACUAAACGGCCUCUGUGGUUGGUUUGCAGAUUCGGACAGCGAUAGCUCUUCGUCAUCUGGAUCAUGAUCAGACCUAGAGAUUACUAUACAAGAGGGCUUGGUGGUGAAAAAUAUGUAAGGUCAUUCAAAGAUCUAUCUCUAUCAUCCAUUGUUAAUCUGUUAAUAAGAAGCUUUUGUUGACUGUUUACUAAAUAGCACGUGUGUUAAUGCAAUCCUUUUAAACGGGCAUCUUACAUGUCUCUGUUUUGGCAUGGUUGUAAUAUUUUUAUGUGAUUGGUCUUGUUCACAUCUGGUACAUAUUCCGGGUAGUUAGUGGGUUUUUGGAUUUAUUGUGCCUGAUUAUAACAAGAGCCUUGAUGCUGUGUGGUGAAACAGGGAGUUUAAAAAGAUGGAAGGUAGAGCUAGAAGAGCAUUAGGGAGGUUAAGGAUGAUGUGACGUACUGGCUUGAGGCGGUAAUAUUGGAGUGGUUUGGGGUGAUGGAAGGAAAGACUGUAUUAUAUACAUAUGACUGUUAGUAAAAAGAAAAAUCUAUUCUUAAUUUAUUUAUUUCGCUUUUAGAAUGGGUAGGAUUCUGUAGCGGUGGCUAUCUACGUUUUAGAUGUAACGGUAGGGUUGGUUUGGUUUGUCUCCGCACUUUUGUAUAUCUCUCUGCCUCUGGUCUUUGGCGGCUUUAGUUGGUUGACUGUUUCAUGCUUUUUAGUUUAGGGCUUUUGAAUCAGCAAAAAAAAGCAUCACAACAGAUUAUGGAUUCUUGAUGACUUGUGUGUAUUGUAAGGUUUUUGAAUUUUGUGACCACUUUGUAGCUUUGUUUUCUGCUUUGCUUCCACUAAAAGCACAUUCCCUCAUUCUUCUAUCUUUCUGAUUCGAUCUAACACAUCUACAGCAUCAUUUGUGUUGGGCUUUUGAGAGUUUUAUCUACGAUUCUUUAAUCAUCAAAUACAUGAACUGUUAGGGUUCUUUUUGUAAAAAAGUAAUAGUUUACGGAGUUUAUUGCAAUAUUUAACAAGAUUUAAGAGUGGAGUGGUGGUGAACCAUCAGGGAAGGAAAUGGUUAGAAUGUUGAGUCAUCUCCGUCCCUUUCCGACCAAUUCUCUGUCUCGUUCUCUCACUGUUCUCUCUUUUUCCCCGACACAGCAACACAAACUCUGGUCUGGUCUCGACACCUGGAGAAACAGCCCCAUCAACGACCUCCGUCUCUGGGGUCCCAACGGCCCUCUCCUCCCUUCCUCUAACUCCACCUCAUCCACCUCCCACGGCCUAGUCUCCGCAGCCCCUUCCCUCGCCGACCUCGGAGCUCUCGUCCUCUCAACCCCCGACCCUCUCUCCAAAUCCCACAUCUCACACUUAGCUUUCUCCCGUUGGCGCCGUGACAACAAUCUCCCCGUUGGCUCCAUCUCCAACCUCCCUUCUUCUCCCGCUCGCCCUCCCAAACCACUCCUCGUCUGUUCCUCAACUUCUUGUCUCUUUCUUUGAUAGUUUUGUCGGAAAAUUAAAUUCCUUUUUUUGCUUCACUCUCAAAGUUUGGAUUUUUAUAGUUUUAAUCAGCCAAUUUUAAUUAGUUUUUUUUUUUUAUUAUUAUUGCAGGUUCCGACCAACGAAGUCCCAAGUCCGAAAGACUCUGACCUUCCUCUCAACGCCUAUAUGCUUCACAACCUCGCUCACAUCGAGCUCAACGCUAUUGACUUGGCGUGGGACACUGUCGCUCGCUUCUCCCCUUUCUUCGACGUUUUGGGACGCAGGUUCUUCGAUGACUUCGCUCAUGUUGCUGAUGAUGAGAGUCGGCACUUCAUG
This 5147-nucleotide long non-coding RNA is filed under the name Brassica napus (rape). RNAcentral describes it as "long non-coding RNA (BNAP_LNC021120)". The record is from RNAcentral. Lineage: Eukaryota; Viridiplantae; Streptophyta; Magnoliopsida; Brassicales; Brassicaceae.